This is a long non-coding RNA of Conger conger (European conger), 1802 nucleotides long. RefSeq lists it as uncharacterized. Lineage: Eukaryota; Metazoa; Chordata; Actinopteri; Anguilliformes; Congridae. The transcript is spliced from 3 exons. The record is from RefSeq and is a predicted model, not a curated record.
UGUACACUCCGGUGUGGCCUUGCAAUCCAGUAGAAAGCCUUCGUGGGUGGGCACAGUUUAUCACAACUUCCUCAUGACACAAGGAUCUUAUCAUUCUGCCGUUGAUAUUUUAAACAACUUUUCCUUUUUUCUUUGUAGCCAGGGUGAACGUUGUCGGGCGCUUUGCUUUGUAGCGCGAUAAGAUCUUAAUGCUGCCUCGCAAACCUAGACUGAACUUGAGCGGGGCCACUUUAGAGGAGCUCACUCGCAGGGAAGAAGAAACGCGGAACGCGGGGAGAUUUCGGUCGCAGAUUGAAGAAAGGUUUCCCCCCGUAACUGGUGUUUGUUCCAGCUAAGUCUGAUGUGAAAGCAACACACACAUACCCAUACACGCACAAGAGCAUUAAUCACACAACCCUUUCAGAAAGGAUCCACGGUACCGAGUUUGAUGCUAUCACCAGCGCGGUCAGAUAUGCUCCCAGGCGCACAGGUGCAGGAGUUCCAGAAAAGCGAGUUCGUGCACGGAGUUUAAUGUUACCUAAGUACCACAGAGCAAACCACAUUGCUGUGGCGUAGACAUCAUGUCGGCGCCGGGUUGGCGUUGAGACACGGCUCCCAGGAGUGCCUGGGAAUCUCACCUUCUCGUAGCGCGUCUCCAUGCAGAGGAAGAUGAUGUAGGCGGUAGCACAGGCCAGGCAUCCCUCCAGGUGUGUGGAGACUCACCCGGCUUUCCAGUUCAGCGGGGAACUUAGUCUGGAAUUUGCAGACGGUCCCUUCAGUGUAGUCCCUCUGGAUGAAGACCUUGGUGGCCAGCGAAGCACUAUGACGCAACUCCUGCAGGUUGUGGAACUGUGGGAAAUGAAGACAUUUGAGGUGGAGUGGGUUAACUAAGAGUAUCGUUGGGGUUCCUUAGCGUUCUCUCUGAAAUCCAAACUAAUAUUUAAGCUGAGAUGUUAAAACAAGUGGGUAAUCUUUAUCGAUGUGAAGUGGGGAAAUUCAGGUUUAUCAUUCAUCUUUAGUACCUUCAGACAGGUGGGAUGGCUGAGUACUGUGACAUACUGUUGUGUAACUGCAGGCUGUAAUAUAACUGCAGUGCCUUUCAGAUUUUCAGCGAUUUCUCAUGAUUAAGAGCCUGCCUGUAAUUCCGCAUUAAAUCCCUGAAACAUGGAUGUGUAGAACACAUCACGCCCCAAAUGCUAUGGAUUAAUUUAAUCUUCUCCCCUGUCUGCCCACCUAAAUCUCCAGCCGAACGACAAUAAACCUUUUAGAGAAAAGAGCUCAACUGUCAGUAAGAGCCCUCCCUAGUAAUGCGUUUCCCUCCUAUUAGGCAAGUAGCAUGUUGAGUUUCAAUAUCUGAAAAUAGAACGAAAUACCCUCUUAAUUGUAGCUAUCAUAUCUUCCCCAGAGAUGAGUAUCUCAUUUCUAAACACUCAUCUCCAAUCAGCACACCCCAGCAAACCACUUAGCUCUUGGCUACCGCUAAUCCGUAGGAGAGGGGAGCCCACAUUGUGCUAUUGCCCUUACGAGAGCAGCAUUCAUUAAUCGAAAUGGCACUUUGGCUCUCAGGAUGAAUCCCUUUUCACAGCCUGGCCUGUGCACAGAUGUCUUUCUAUACCCGAGCCAGGGGGAGUCCUGCAGGACAAAAGGGGGUUGGGUCUAACACGGCCAAGCCAAUGAGAAGUGACAAAGCAACCCCUAGCCCUUUAGCCUGGAAGGUCUUACGGACUGCCGUUACAGGGCAUGUUUGGACUGUUUAAUAUGGUGAAAAUUCUGCACAGUUUUCAACAGUGUGCUUCUCGCUCCUUCUGAGUCCAAUGAGAGUU